GAUGAACGCUGGCGGCGUGCUUAAUACAUGCAAGUCGAACGAAUUGAAGAUGUGCCUGCACAUCUGAUGUUAGUGGCGAACGGGUGAGUAAUACAUAGGCAACUUGCCCCAAGGACUGGGAUAACACUUAGAAAUGAGUGCUAAUACCGGAUAGGUAAUACAAAGGCAUCUUAGGAUUAUUAAAGUUGGGUAUUCAACACCAUGGCCUUGGAUUAUGCUGUAUUAGCUAGUUGGUGAGAUAAAAGCCCACCAAGGCGAUGAUACAUAGCUGGUCUGAGAGGAUGAACAGCCACAUUGGGACUGAGACACGGCCCAGACUCCUACGGGAGGCAGCAGUAAGGAAUUUUCGGCAAUGGAGGAAACUCUGACCGAGCAACGCCACGUGAGUGAUGAAGGCCUUCGGGUUGUAAAGCUCUGUUGUAAAGGAAGAAUGUAUAGAAAAGGAAAUGUUUCUAUAGUGACGGUACUUUACUAGAAAGUCACGGCUUACUACGUGCCAGCAGCCGCGGUAA
Molecule: ribosomal RNA, 512 nt
Filed under: uncultured bacterium
Lineage: Bacteria
Description: partial 16S ribosomal RNA
Rfam family: Bacterial small subunit ribosomal RNA
Source: RNAcentral